This 467-nucleotide ribosomal RNA is filed under the name uncultured bacterium. Its description in RNAcentral is "bacterial SSU rRNA". It matches the Rfam family "Bacterial small subunit ribosomal RNA", at positions 328 to 793 of the family's 1533-position model. The record is from RNAcentral.
UUGCCAGACUCCUACGGGAGGCAGCAGUGAGGAAUAUUGGUCAAUGGGCGAGAGCCUGAACCAGCCAAGUCGCGUGAGGGAAGACGGUCCUACGGGUUGUAAACCUCUUUUGUCAGGGAGCAAGAACGGAUACGUGUAUCCGAGCGAGAGUACCUGAAGAAAAAGCAUCGGCUAACUCCGUGCCAGCAGCCGCGGUAAUACGGAGGAUGCGAGCGUUAUCCGGAUUUAUUGGGUUUAAAGGGUGCGUAGGCGGACUACCAAGUCAGCGGUAAAAUUGCGGGGCUCAACCCCGUCGAGCCGUUGAAACUGGCGGUCUUGUGUGGGCGAGAAGUAUGCGGAAUGCGUGGUGUAGCGGUGAAAUGCAUAGAUAUCACGCAGAACUCCGAUUGCGAAGGCAGCAUACCGGCGCCCGACUGACGCUGAAGCACGAAAGCGUGGGUAUCGAACAGGAUUAGAUACCCUUGUAU